UCCUAGCAAAAAUUCUUUCGAUGAUAUGCUGCAUGGUGGGUCGAUACUUUUUAUUUAAUCAUUUAUAGUAGUUUUCACGCCGUCAAUUUUGUUUUCGAAAAAGGAUAUACUUUUUCAAGGUGUACUUCUGUCUUAGUGGACAGUUGAUUGUUGGCGGUGUUUAUGUCCGCUAAAAAAGUUUCGUCGCGUUCAUUUAAAGAUGAUGAAAUGCAAUUUAUGACUUUACUGGACGCGUUGGAUGUAGUGAUGUUUACAUUUUUUAUUUCCGUUUCUAGCUCAAGCAAAAGAGAUUCCAUGCUGUCGAGAGCAUCGUGUGAUACUUUCAUGCUUUUUAUUUGUGCGAAUAAAGCAUGGUUUGCUUCAAUUUGAGCACGGACUGUUUGGUUCAAUUCCUGCUGUUGAUGGAUAAGUUUUUUUCGGCAAAUUCCUGCCGACAGUCAAUACACAGAGGUACCAUGAAGGUCCUUAAUAAUUCCUCGUGGUUUUUCUGUGCUCCCAUGCAUGCUGCAUGAAAUUUCCGAUUGCACUUUCCGUGACACUUCCAGAGAUAGCGGCUGUCGUAGACAAUAUAAUUACUAAUUCCGCACUUCUCCAUGUUAACGCGACGAUAUGUUAAAAAAUGAUUACUAUUUAAAAAGAGUGCCCACUUGCACGUUUACGUCGAAAUAAAAAAGUUGAAAUAAAAUCCGUUCGGUUGGACGGAUGGACAAAGAAAGGUGAACAAGAAGCCAGGCUGAAACCUGAAUCGCCGGACCGACCUCGGCACCGCCGGGGACUAACCGAGUAGAAGUCACAGCACCGAAAUCGAGUCGCCGGGGCGCCAGUAAACCGGAAGCCAUGCUCCAACCGAAAUUACAGGACCGACCUCGGCACUCAUUCGAGUGUCCCGCGUGCAAAAUACUAGAUUCGGCGUCGGUCCGGGGAAACUUCCAUCGUCGGGGAUUUUUUCUGUCGGUGUAGGCUAAACUUCAAUCAUCGGGGAUUAGCCGAGUAGUUCGCGACGUAGACCAGUCCUGAGUAGUCGAGGCACCAGCGAAUCAAGAGUGGUGGUGUUUCAGCACGGCCCCCUGCCGAAGUAAUACCUUAUGGUAGUCCCGUGGUAGAAUGAGGGGAGCGAAGCUUAGGGGGUGUUUUAGUUCGGGUUUAGUACCUUAGACAUGACUAUAUGGUGGUGUGGAUGUAACAUAAAGGUAUUCGAGGGGUGGAAGGGGGUGGGGGGCCGUUUGGUAAGUGCCUCCAAAAAGUGGGGUGAAAUGUUUGUAAUGGCAUAACUUCGGAACUCGGCACGGAUUGCUAUCAAACUUGGCACAGGUACAUCUUGCUGUUCAGAGGUGAUCAUAAAGAUACAAAUACAGAGGUGAUCAUUGUCAUACGAAUUUUUAUAACGAGGAGGGAGUAGCAAGUGUUUAAAACCAUGGAAGCUUAAGGUAUUUUAGAUCGCGUGUGACGAGGAACGCACCUGUAACGAUAAUUCAAGUACGUUACGAGCACAUAUGCUUUUUGGAACUCAGAGGUUACUAAGAAGAUAUUUAUAGAGAAAGGUGUUUCAAAUGUUCCUAGCAAAAGCUUUCAAACACAAAACAGACCCGUUUGUACGAGUGGUCGAAGUAACGAUUAUCUAACUACGCGGUGAACUGGUGUUAAGUUUGACUUUAUUUCGUUCGAUAAAUUGGUACGAUAAAUCUCGAAGAUGUGAUUUGUUCGAAGGUUUAUAUUCUACGAUAUCAGGUGUACAUCUUUGCUUCCGCCGUUUUCCGAUAGUUGGCUGUACCGGCUGAGGCUGGUUAAAAUACAUAGAUGAUAAUGCCUUUAAAGUGAGUGUGUACAGUGCCUGAAUUGUCAAUCGCCGUUUCAGUGACAGUUGUUCUUGUUUUCGUAUUAUUCAUGCUCGAAAAUGUCUGUUUAUGUCUCCAAUUCUCACCAUUUGCGGGAAGUUUUACUUUUCUGUUACAAUUCGAAAAAAAAAAAGAUUUAUUGGUCCAGUUUUUGCAUAGUUUGUUCGCUGGUGGUUUGUAAUAAAAAUAUUUCGAUUUCUUAAAGGCCGAGAUGGUAUAUAAAAAUUUAGUUUGGAUAGGAGUUGACUGAAAUCUAUGCGAUUCGAGACCAUGUCAUUUACUAAUGAGACCAUUGAAAAUUCUCUGCGUUCUUUUAAUGAUUGAAUACUGAUCAGCAUACAACGGGCCUUAUAGUAAGUCUUGUCCAACCUAAUUUACGAAGUGCAAAUAAUAAAAAUUGUUUAUAACUGAUUCUAUUCGCGACCUAGAAGGAGCAGUGCUGCUACCUAUGAAAGUUUAAUAUGUGUGUGAAGUGAAUGUAAACAAAGCAGGGUACUUUUUCAUUAAAUUAAAAUUAGUUAAUUCUCUAUUUUCUUAUUUGAUGUUUUGUGCGUUGAAAUACGAAAAAGUUUAAAUGAUUCCUGUUUAGUCAUUAGAACAUAUUGUGCGGUGUAUCGUAGCUGGUAUUUCGUCAGUAAAAAGCGGGAAAGAUUUCUCUUCCGGCACUAGUAAUCUGCAUAGAUCAUGUAUCUGAAAAGUUGCUCGAAUGGGCUUGCAAAAACAUUUCCUAACAGUGUUUGUUAUGCUGAUGAGAACAACAACAAAUGCAAAUUGUUGAGCCAAAUUGUAUGUUUUGAUUGCUAAAAAAAAGGUAUCGACCGGGUAUAUUGAUUUAAUCAUGUGAAAUGGAAUAAACAUUCCUCUGGCAAUAAAUUUCGUUAUCCCAAGUGUAAACCGCACAACUAAACGAGUAAUUCUGAGGACUGCUUCUGCACCCGUUGCUUUUAUCGAUUGUCGUUCAAUGCGUGCCGCCAAUUUGUUUACUUAUGUAUUUAUUAAAUUUAUUCAUCUGACAAAGAAUAUACCUAAUGAAUAAAUCCCAAAUGUCCUCAAGCAUGAUGUUAUCAGUUCGAAAUAUCUUAACGCCGUUCGCUGUAAUCUCUUUGAAUGUUAAUUAUUCUAUAGAGUCGAGUUUUUGUAACAUAUAAAAUGUUAAUAAUUUUGUGAUCUCAAAUACGGAUAUUAAAAAAAACCUUAAUAAAUGAUUCAAAACAGCCAUCACAUGUUUGCGUUUUCAUUUACUGGCUUUGAAAGAACAUGAAAAUAACUAAGCAGAAAGCUCACUUUUAAUGCAAAAUUUUAUUGCGUGCGGCUCGACAGUUGGAGAGAAUGACUGUAUACAAGUCGAGAAUAAGACAAAUCCAUCAUUGUAGAUCUCAUCUAUUCCAACUAACUGAACGGUUUCCUCCGGCAGCGUAGUUGAAGACAUCCGACAAGUUCAUCAACACAGUGCACGUAUCAUCUAAAGGCUCCUAAAGAUGAAUCGAGAAAUGCUUUAUUUUCACAUUUAAAAUGAACACUUCUACGAAAAAUUUGCACCACAGGUAGAAAACAUGCAGUUUUAAUGCAAUUUAUAGAAUUUUCAAAAAUAGCGGUAGAUUUUCCUUCAUAAAUAUUGUUCAGAAAUUCUGUUUACUUUUUCUCACAUACCGAUCACUUGUUUUCUACACGAGAAAAUAGACAUCACUCAAAGUGAUUAUUUCAUAUUCAUUAACUAAGUAUCUUCAAAGUUUUUAAAAAACACUGGUACUUACCAUUUCAAA
This is a long non-coding RNA of Malaya genurostris, 3598 nucleotides long. RefSeq lists it as uncharacterized. The transcript is spliced from 3 exons. The record is from RefSeq and is a predicted model, not a curated record. NCBI's taxonomy places the organism in Eukaryota, Metazoa, Arthropoda, Insecta, Diptera, Culicidae.